Capsicum annuum is the source of this 118-nucleotide non-coding RNA. The record is from Rfam. Lineage: Eukaryota; Viridiplantae; Streptophyta; Magnoliopsida; Solanales; Solanaceae.
AUUCACGCAGUGAACACAUAACGAACUACUCUUUCGCCUUUUACUAAAGAAUACCGUGUGUGUGCUGCAACUAGUGGCAUAUGCUGAUUUUUGGAGGGGUCCUCUUUCUUAGAGUGCC